This is a non-coding RNA of Meleagris gallopavo (turkey), 2107 nucleotides long. Lineage: Eukaryota; Metazoa; Chordata; Aves; Galliformes; Phasianidae. The record is from RefSeq and is a predicted model, not a curated record.
UGGGUGCUGGAGGGUGCUUUCUUGGCCGUUCCAAGCUUUUCAGGUGAUUAAUUUUUCUGGACUUGCUAAAAACAAAAUUGCUCCCGUGCAAGUUUCCCCCAACACUGACUUCAGCUGACUGCCUGAGGUAAUAGAAAAAUAAAAUUCUGUAGAAAUCAAAUGUACAGGCUGAGAAGUAAUGAGGAUAAGCAAAUUGUAUCCCUAAUGCAUGACAGAUGGCAGCAGUGGGGCAGUCUGACAGAAUUGCGUCUGACACCAAGAAUGAAUGAAGCAAAAGUGUGUCACUGAAUUUCCCUAUGGGGCUUUUGAAGAUCUCCAAAAGGAGACUCUGCAACCUCUCUGGGCAACCUGUUCCAGUGUUUGGUCAUCUGUAAAGAGUUUCUUCCUAAUGUUCAGUUACUUUUCCUCUUCUCUCAAUACAGACACGAAAAGAUAUUAUAUUGGAUAUUUCUGUAUAUGAUUUUUGAACAUUUUUUAAAUUCUAUUUCCUUUAAUGUUCUUCAGAAAAAGAAAAGACACACAAAAACUAUUCUUUGAGUAGAAUAGUGAUCACAGUGAUUUCAAUCAAUAUUAAAACAUAUCUAUUGUUACUGAAAUGACUCAGUGGUUUGACUUGAUUUAUUUAAAUUCAAAUAAAGCACAGAUCAAAUCUUUAUAUUAAAAAUGGACUCAUCAUUACAAACGACUUAAAUAACUUAGAUUUGUCAAUUUUAAUUCAUAAUUUGCAGACAAAGUUCCAUGCAAAUAGACAUAACAUAAUAGAAUAAAGAAACUUGUAAGCAAUGUUUCAAGGUAAAAUCUUAAUAUGAGAAUUAUUAAUGGUAAGACUGCAAAGACAGAAUUCUUUUAAAACAGCUGAUAACCAAAAGGAUAAUACACUUUUCCUGUAAAUAAUUGAAUAAUUUAUUUGCGUAAAUUUAUAUAUAUACACACAUGCCACAAUCUGCCAAACACAAUGUAAAAUAUUUUUUUUAAUGUGAGAUAUUUGCUUAACUUUGUCUGUACUUGUUAAUUUUGCUUAAAUACGGAAGCUAGAGGGCCAAACUAUGUAAAGACAGGACUUAUAUAGCAGACUGGCAGUAAUGGACAUUUAUGCACUUGAUCACCACUGAUUUCACCAGUGGAAACUGCUUAUUCCUUUCAGAUUUCCGCAAGUUACUUAUUUUUAUUGUAAAAUCUGUUUUCAUUGUACAUUUCAGUGACUUUGAUUUCCAGAUUUUGUCUCCAGUUGGCUUUGAUUUCCAGAUUUUGUCUCUAGUUAUUUCUUUCUCUAAGAAUUAAUGUGCCACAGAGUAACUGGGUUUUGGCCUAGUGGCAUGAGAGUUCACAUUCAUGCUAUUUAUACACUAUAAACAAGUCACCUGUCAGGGUUUUUUUUAAUAAAGUACACAGUCCUAACUCUCAUCUCUUAGCAAGGCAUAUUACUGGAUCUCUAUUCCCAUUUGUGACUUUUCCACAUCCUUUUCAAACAUCUCUGUUCCAAAUACUUGACAGUGUACUUCCAUCUGCCUGCCUACUCAGCUUAUUUCGUUACUUAUUUAUUGUAAUUACCUGUGAUUUUAUGAGUCAACCAUUAGCCUUUACCCAGAAUUUUUAGAAUGUUCUGAGUUGGGAGAGAUCCACAGGGAUCAUAAACUCCAAAUUCACAGACAACUACCCCUACAUCUGAGAGCUCUGUCCAAACACUUCCGGAACUCCAGCAGCUCAGUGCCAUUACCACUGCCCUGGGGAGUCUGUUCAGUACCCAACACCCUCUGGUGCAGAAUCUUUCUCUACCACCUAACCUGACCCACCCCUGACAGAUCCAUGCUGUGUCCUGCCACUGUCACCAGAGCUCAGUGUUGCCCCUCUGCUCCCCCACUGAGGAGCUGCAGCCGCCAUGAGGCCUCCCGUCAGCUUCCUCUGUUUGGGCUGAACAAAUCUCACAGAAUCACAGAAUCACAGAAUGGCCCAGGUUGGAAAGGAGACCUUAAGGGUCAUGAAUCUCCAGCCCCCCCGCCACAGGUAGGGCCACCAACCUGCCCAUUUAAUACUAGACCAGGGUGCCCAGGAUUGCCCAUGCAGUCUGGCCUUGAACACCUCCAGGGACAGGGCAUCCACAACCUCU